Molecule: long non-coding RNA, 193 nt
Organism: Triplophysa dalaica
Lineage: Eukaryota; Metazoa; Chordata; Actinopteri; Cypriniformes; Nemacheilidae
Exons: 3
Source: RefSeq, a predicted model, not a curated record
AUUUUCCCCUUACUGUACAGAGGGAUGCGCUCUGAGAGCACUGUAUAGUCUGAUGAGAAUCCCAUGAUGUCUCAUUGAGCCGAACCUCCAGGCUAGGGAUGACCUGAGCUCAGGUGACAAAAGGGUCCCUGUUAUUAUGCCACAAUGUGGUGCGACAAAACCAGUCCAGCACAAGCUCGGAGUCAGAGGUCAC